UGAUCCUGCCGGAGGCUACCGCUAUUGGAGUUCGAUUAAGCCAUGCGAGUCGAGAGUCUUAGGGACUCGGCGUACCGCUCAGUAACACGUGGGUAACCUGCCCUAUGCUGGGGAAUAACCUCGGGAAACUGAGAAUAAUGCCCCAUAGUUCACUACGCCUGGAACGGUGAGUGGAUGAAAGCUCCGGCGGCAUAGGAUGGGCCUGCGGCGUAUCAGGUCGUAGGGGGUGUAACGUACCCUCUAGCCAUCGACGCGUACGGGUGUUGGGAGACAUAGCCCGGAGAUGGAUUCUGAGACACGAAUCCAGACCCUACGGGGUGCAGCAGGCGCGAAAACUUGGCAAUGCGAGAAAUCGUGACCAGGGAACUCCAAGUGGCUGGGGUAAGACCCAGUCUUUUCUUGACUCUUCAAAGGUCUUGGAAUAAGAGGUGGGUAAGGACGGUGCCAGCCGCCGCGGUAAUACCGGCGCCUCAAGUGGUAGUCGAUUUUAUUGGGCCUAAAACGUCCGUAGCCUGUUUGGUACAUUCGUGGGUAAAUCAACCAGCUCAACUGGUUGAAUUCUGCGAGCACGGCCAGACUUGGGACCGGGAGAGGUGUGGGGUACGCUCAGGGUAGGGGUAAAAUCCUGUCAUCCUGAGCGGACCACCUGUUGCGAAGGCGCCACACUAGAACGGAUCCGACGGUCAGGGACGAAGCCUAGGGGCACGAACCGGAUUAGAUACCCGGGUAGUCCUAGGUGUAAACGCUGUGGACUUGGUGUUGGGGAUUCUCCGAGGAUUCUCAGUGCCGAAGCGAAGGUGAUAAGUCCACUGCCUGGGGAGUACGGUCGCAAGGCUGAAACUUAAAGGAAUUGGCGGGGGAGCACCGCAACCUGAGGAUUGUGCGGUUUAAUUGGAUCAACGCCGGG
RNAcentral lists this ribosomal RNA (907 nucleotides) under uncultured archaeon. RNAcentral describes it as "bacterial SSU rRNA". It matches the Rfam family "Archaeal small subunit ribosomal RNA", at positions 9 to 922 of the family's 1478-position model. The record is from RNAcentral.